This 746-nucleotide ribosomal RNA is filed under the name uncultured bacterium. RNAcentral's name for it is "bacterial SSU rRNA". It matches the Rfam family "Bacterial small subunit ribosomal RNA", at positions 76 to 801 of the family's 1533-position model. The record is from RNAcentral.
GUAGCAAUAUUCCGUAAUCGGAGCGGCGCAAGGGUGCGUAACACGUGGGUAAUCUGCCAUGAAGUUUGGAAUAACUCGCUGAAAGGCGAGCUAAUGCCGGAUGUGAAAGCCGAGGGGCAUCUCUUGGUUUUAAAGCUGGGGACCGUAAGGCCUGGCGCUUCAUGAUGAACCCGCGGCCUAUCAGCUAGUUGGUAAGGUAACGGCUUACCAAGGCUAAGACGGGUAGCUGGUCUGAGAGGACGACCAGCCACACUGGAACUGAGACACGGUCCAGACACCUACGGGUGGCAGCAGUCGAGAAUUUUUCACAAUGGGCGCAAGCCUGAUGGAGCGACGCCGCGUGGGGGAUGAAUGGCUUCGGCCCGUAAACCCCUGUCAUUUGCGAUUAACCGUUGUUGAUUAAGAGAUGACAACCUGAUAGUAGCGAAAGAGGAAGGGACGGCUAACUCUGUGCCAGCAGCCGCGGUAAUACAGAGGUCCCAAGCGUUGUUCGGAUUCACUGGGCGUAAAGGGUGCGUAGGUGGCAAGGUAAGUCGGAUGUGAAAUCUCCGAGCUCAACUCGGAAAUGGCAUCGGAAACUACUUUGCUCGAGGGUUGGAGGGGGGACUGGAAUACUUGGUGUAGCAGUGAAAUGCGUAGAUAUCAAGUGGACACCAGUGGCGAAGGCGAGUCCCUGGACAACUCCUGACACUGAGGCACGAAAGAUAGGGGAGCAAACAGGAUUAGAUACCCCGGUAGUCCUAGCA